This is a long non-coding RNA of Mustela erminea (ermine), 854 nucleotides long. RefSeq lists it as uncharacterized. Lineage: Eukaryota; Metazoa; Chordata; Mammalia; Carnivora; Mustelidae. The record is from RefSeq and is a predicted model, not a curated record. The transcript has 3 exons.
UCUCUAUUUUAAAAUUCAUUUCAUACUUUAAAUGUUGUUGAUUUUUCGCAAAACAAGUAAAAACCAAGUCAGCAUUAAACACCUCAGAAUAAUUUCAGUCUUGUAUUACUUGGAAAAUUCACCACAUCAUGGAGGGUCACAAAAUCCUGUUUUAAAGUCAGCGAAGGCACUGACAAUUAUGGGAUGUUUUGCUGCAGCCUAGGGCAACUAGAAAUGGCCACGGAUGUUAACGAACUCCCUCCUCAACAGUCUGAGAAAAGGGAAAAAAAAACUGAAAAGCAAGCCAUGGCUCUAGAUACCAAUACUGACAUAAGUGAAGUACAGAGGACUGAGGAAGCAAAACCUGAGAAACAGUCUUCUGCUCUCUUCCAUGAAACUGUGGUGCGUUCUCUUCACUUUGGCCAAGUGCCCAGCUAAGAGAAUUCUCCCUCAAGAUGAGCAUGUUUCAGAGCGAACCCUUAACUGUUGGUUUCAAAAAGCCCAACCUUACAUUCUGUUUGGAGCUUUGGUGAAGUAGGUUGUACCCAUGAACCCUAGAAAAACAUGAAGAUUUCUCAUAAGAACACAAGAUAAAUGUUCAAGCAAUCAUCAAAUGGAACUUGAGUUCGUCUUUGUGUCAGACGAAAAACAGCCCUUUCUGACUUACGGAUAUGGCUGAAGGGGAAUACCUGAAAAGAGUGAUUUCUCUCCACAUCUGUCUUUAAGGCUUGAUAACAUUGUACCAUAUAAGGUCAUUGACAAUGCAAAAUAUCACAAUAUAGCACAGAACUAAUCAAAGCCUAAAAUUAUCCAAAUAAGCUAUUUAGAGAGAAUCUCAACAACUUCUUUUGAAUGUGGUAUUACCAAAAAUAUGA